This 72-nucleotide transfer RNA is filed under the name Halosquirtibacter laminarini. RNAcentral describes it as "tRNA-Arg". It matches the Rfam family "tRNA". From Rfam's summary of the family: Transfer RNA (tRNA) molecules are approximately 80 nucleotides in length. The record is from RNAcentral. Lineage: Bacteria; Pseudomonadati; Bacteroidota; Bacteroidia; Marinilabiliales; Prolixibacteraceae.
GCCUGCAUAGUUCAAGGGAUAGAACAAUAGUUUCCUAAACUGUAGAUCCAGGUUCGAAUCCUGGUGUGGGUA